Long non-coding RNA from Nothobranchius furzeri (turquoise killifish), 2215 nucleotides. RefSeq lists it as uncharacterized. Lineage: Eukaryota; Metazoa; Chordata; Actinopteri; Cyprinodontiformes; Nothobranchiidae. The record is from RefSeq and is a predicted model, not a curated record.
CCCACCCCCCGUAAAUAAGGCAGCAUUUAAAAGCAUCUGAAACUAAACGAAUGAGCUGGAAACCGCUUAAACGCUAACCACUAAGUCCCAUUUAAACAACAGCUGAUUAAUGUGAUCUCCUCUGCUUUCACUCCCUCUCUCAAUAAAACAUGGACUGCAGCUCCAGUGAUAAAGUUGAGCAGCCAGCAGUCAUAAGUGUCACUGUGUUAUGGAUUAUUCUGGUGUCACCCAGUCCAGCCAGUAUGGGGUUAGAUUUGUGCCAAUAGGAUCAAGAAAAACACUUUGGAGAGCAAACAAAUUUUAAAGAGCAAGUAACGUCUAAAUUAACUUUUUGUUGUUGAUGAACUGUAUAAAUGAGUGUCUAAUAGUGUUUUAAAUGUGUGUUCAUUAUUUUAGCAUUUUGGUGCAUUUUCUUUAAAAAUUAAAAAUUCUGCCUAAAUACCACAGUAUAGCUCCACCUUCAGCUUAAAACAUAGAAUUUGACUCAUUUUGAAUAAAUUUUAGCCAAUGGCUAAAGAGUAAGAUACUACGUAAACCAGUAGAGUACUACGUAGCAGCUCUGUGUCAAAGUUAUAAAAGCAACGAGCGUCUCGGCCACGCCUUGUGGCGAGUUGGGAGUUGGAUUUGCAAGCGAGCGUAGGACGGUCAGCGGUAGUUCAGCAUUAGCAUAUAGCAUAUCCUAGUCUUUAGCGUAGCCUUUAGUGUUAUACAUACUUAUUUAGUGUUAGCUUGGCUGUUGGAUAGUGUAGUUUAGUUAGUGUUUGGCUGUUAGUGUUAUUAGGAAAGUAGUUCAGGUCUAGUGCUCCAUAUCGUGUUAGUAUGGUGAGAAGGUGUAGUGUAGUAUGGUUGCGGUGGCUCUGUGGGGUUGUACUCCUUUCCGCUGGACUUAGAAAUUAGACGCCAGUGGUUGCGCGCAAUCGGUGUCUGGAAAACAUUCAGCUCCCGCCUGGUGCUGUGGUUUGCAACCAGCAUUUUACCCGCGAUUCUGCACAUCUCUGUUUGAAGAGGCUGUGCCCACCGUGGCUCUUCCGCGAUUUAGAUGCAGCCCACCGACUCUGCUCCCCCACCAUGACGGGCUCCAGUCUGAGGCUAAAUCUACCCAAGACACUGGCUGUCAGACUGAUUUAGUAAUCUGCAAGAAUGCACUUGUCCAGGCUGACGUGGUGUUACCCGUAGCAAAGAGCUCACAGCCUCAGUGUCUUGUGACACGGGGACCAUGACGGAAAUUCAUCUUCCAGAAAGUCCCAGAGCAGCGUCCACACCCCUGAAAAGACCAAGAUGUGAGGUGUCUGCUGUUGAUUCCAGCUUCCACCUCAGUGACAGUGCAAGCUCAGUGAACUGUUCAAGGAGGCUACUGAUUCUGCCCCUGUGACACUUGGUGGUGACGUGUGAGCUGAUUCACCUGGACACUCAGCAAAAUAUGGACUCUACACCAUGAAGCAGGCACACGUUAAUACUCUAUAAGAGCACAUAAGGUGAGCAACACCACAGAUUAUUGUUAUUACUGUACACUGUCCUGGAUUUGUUUUCUUUCUGCAUCUCAUCAUUAGCCUGGCUGAUCACCUGAUAACUCCUGUCACCUAGUUAUGACAGCAUGAGGAUGUCCUCACACACCUGUAACCCAUCAGCUCAUCUGGCAGAAUAGAGAGAGAAGAGACAACACCACAUCUCUUGUUCCUGGAAAGCCUUCAGCCUUCCUUCGAUGACUGAGAACCUCCAUCAGCUCUGUCUCCUGUCUGCCUACAAUUAUUAUAAUAAAUAGUGUGUUUGAGAAGUUUUUUGUGCUGCCAAAUAUCUCAUUUUGAUUCCAGUUUUGAUAUUUUAAUGGAUAUUUAUAAAUUACAUUAUUGAAUUAUCACAUUGCAUGUUUAACUAGCUCUCUUGUGAUGAAUUAAACUAGCACCUCACUGUUAAAAGCUCGUUUUAAUUUCAAGCAUGUUUAAGUAUUUAUGGACAUGAACAAAAACAGGAAAUAUAUAAAUUGAGAUUUAUUUAAUUAAUAUAACAAAUAAGGGGGAAUGAGUCAUUGAAAGGCACAUUCUUCUGGAAGCUCCUGAUCCUGACGACACCAGCAGAGACCAGCUGCAGACACCAGAGGAUCACCUGCAACCAAGAGCAGCUAGUAUCAGUAAAUAAAUAAUGAAAUCAGGGCAGUUUUAGUGGGCUGAACACAUUACAGAAUAAUUUUCUCAUGGGGUAGUUUCAUAACUUUCUA